UUACAAGGUACAAGGUAUUGAUUUUUUUUUAAUGUUUGUUUUGUUAUAGUUUAUUCAUUUGGUGAUAAACAUAGAUAUGCCUCACUUAUGUUUUGUGUAGUGAUUACACAGUUGUAUAUAAAAUAUGUAUAUACUAGUCUGUAUAAUAUUUACUGGAUAAUAGUUUAAGCAGAUUUGGAUAAUUAAUACAAAUAUAUAUUUUUAGUUUUUUGGAGUAUUUAUGUGUUCCUCUGAUUUUCAGCAACACUUGAAGAUAGAGGAGAGUAUAACAUGUUCAGAUUUUUUGUAUUUUUAAGUUUCACUCACUGGGACAGCCAGAAUAGGGGAAACGUAGGUGAGUGGCAGGGCAUGACAGCUGUAGAAGGAAAUGAUGCCUACAAAGAAAAUAACAUUUAAAAGAUGAGUUAUUAAAGUGCAGACUUCUAUAAAUGUGGGUAAAUUAAGCAAUUGACAACAUGUUUUGUGCUAAACCAUAUUUAUUUCCAAUUAUAUGACUAAAUAUGUAUUGCAAUUAAAUUGAUCAUUUUGAAAUAAAGUACAUAUCCCACGAAAUCUAAAAGGGAAGAAAUCACAUAAUUACAUAAGUAACUGUUAAUAAAUAAAACAAUAUUUCUCCUGUGACAUGGAGAAGCAUGGAACUCCAUAGACUUUAAAUUUCUUACUUUGUUUAAUGUAAAAAAAGAUGACAGAUACUGGUGGGGCCUGACUGGUCACAUGAAAGAACAGUUUCUACAGUUUUCUGACUUUUAGGCUCACAAAAGCAGAUAAUAUACUCACCCUACCCCGAGAAGCUACAAUCAAUCAUGCAAGAGGUUCUGGUCCAGAGGCUGAGCUUGAAACUUGUAUUUUGGUCCCUUGGAGGGAGAUCUAAAGUCUCUGUGGAUGAGGCCUUCUCAGGCAGUGAGUGGGAUGGACAGCAGCACCCUGCUAUCCUGUCCAACUCGAAUAAACUGGUUCCUUGGCACGAUGUGGUGCUGUUCCCCCCUCUUUGGCCUGGUGGGGUCAGCCUGAUGCAACCUGGAGCUUUACUAUUGGCGGAGACCCACAUACCUUUAAAAUAGCUGUUGAGUCUGUCAUAUCUUACAGGUAAUCAUUGUAGAUGGUAGCUCCCUCAGUGUCUUUGACGCCAUAUGUGAGAAAUGUUGGGCUACAGCGAUCCGUGAUGGAGGUGCAUUUACAGCCACCCGGGCACACAAGACUCCUGAGGCCUGGAACAGGGCGCCUUUAACAAUGCUACUUUCAGAUGGUAGCUCUCUCAGUGUCUUUGACGCUAUAUAUGAGAAAUGUUGGGCUAAAGCGAUCAUGAUGGAGGUGCGUUUACAGCCACCCAGGACGCACAAGACUCCUGAGGCCUGGAACAGGGCACCUUUAACAGUGCUACUUCCAACUCAACUAGGCCACUGACUGAUGCGACCCGCAAGACUGAGCCACAUCUCCGUUUAUGGUGGACUGCUUUGAGCAUCUGCCAGUCCUUCCCUACAUAUAAUCUAUGGCUGUUCCAAAACGACCCUCGACAACCCAUUCAAUGGCAUUGAUUGACAUACAAGUAAUGGAAAAUGCUUACUGAGUCCUCGAACAUCAUUCUUAACUUUGGCUGGCUGGAAUGGCUUUAGUGGCGGACUGGCUGCCUAAUUCCUGUAUUGGUUAUCGGUUGAAGGCUUACCUCUGAACUUUGGCACUGUGUCCUGCCCUUAGUGGGGGUUGGCUGAUCUCUGUCCUGGUUCUGGGAGAGCCUCUUUAGCAUAUAUGCCGCUACUACAGAGGUCUAUCUUAUUCCUCUAACAGUUUUUGUGUUUCUGUGGGCCCAGGGGUCUUUAUACGAUGUUGCAUGCUCUAUUUUUUUAUUUUUAAAUGUUGAUUUUUUUACCAUGCCACACUGUUUUGCAUGUACUAUUCUUCCCUUAAAAUGUGCAGUUUCAAUGAUGUGUUUAAUGUGAUGGCACUUAUAAGACAAUGCUAUGUUUUCCCAGUAAUGUGUAUAUUAUGUGCAACUGCUUUUCUUUUCUGUAACAACUAAAAAUAACUUGUUCCCGGGUCUGUAACGUUGAAAAGUGCUAUGACUCACCUGAAAUUAUUAAUAUGUCUGACAAAUGUAAGUUUUGCUUUUUAUAACUCAAACAUAUGUUUCUACCUGGAUUUUCCCAUGUUUGCUUUAAAAUUGUCGCUACCAAGCACGAAAAAUAAAGAAUUAAAAAUAAAUAAAUAAAUAAUUUGUUGUGGUGUGUAUUUUAGAAGCAAAGUAACAUUUGCUAAUUCCAUAAGGCUCCCCACCUGGGAGAACAAAAUCCGGGAGAAAUUAAACAAGAUGGUCCAGGAUGGUAAAAACAUUAAAGUACAAUAAAACAGUAAAAAAUAAAAAGUUAAAAGUAACACGAUACGUUUUGCCACAGGACAAGGCUUUUCAACUUUGUUCUCCCUGGUGGGAAGCGUACCACCAAAGCCUUAUGGAAUGAGCAAAACUUUACUUUGCUCCUAAAAUAGACACCACAUCAUCUACAUAUCCUUAGAGUGGGGAUUAUACCACUCCACUCUGUUUUAAGGAGCCACCUACUAGGCUUAUAUAAAUGUGAGUGUAUUUCUAAUUUGAUUCAGUUUUCUAAUAUCAACAGCACUAAAUUACUACACUAUAUAGUGUCCAUCUCUGUGUUCCCUUCUAUAUUCCUGGACCAUAUCCUGAGAUGAAGCGAAGCACCAGAAUAUUGUUAGGGAUCACACCGCCCAAGCGCUAUCCAGAGGAGCUCUUUAGCUCCAUCUACUGAUUUACUAAGGCGCUACUUCCAAUUCCUUCCUUUCACUACCUUGUUCUCGUUCCAGAUAAGAGAGAAUCCGGCUUGGGUUGAUUGCGCUGUCUUGUAGACUUACCAGAACCUUUCACGUGCUAAACCUUACAUUCUGGUGGUAUUCCUUAAAAAUUAUUUUCCCCUUUCUCAGUCUGGACACAAUUUAGAGCUUAUCCGUGCUCUUGUUGCUUUAUUAAUAUUAUUCCAGAUUAUUGUAAACCUCUCUUUCACUGCCUAAAAAGUGCUCAGGCUGCAUGUGUGGAUUUUUCAAUGUCUAGUAAAACGUAUGUGCUCUUGAGGAGCCACAAGUCCUACUUGAGCACUACUGUUGCCAUGUUCUUAAACUCUCAGAGACUGAUGUCACCUUACUUUUCCCUGCACACACUAUAGCCCAUAUUACCCCCUGCACCCAUUACACCUGCUUUCCCCCUUGCACCUACUACUGCUCUUAUAACCACUUCUAGCACCUUCCACUCACAACAGCCUCUUUCCCCCUGCACCCACUAAAGCCCCUAUGCCACCUGAACCCACUACAGCCCUUAGAACCCCAUGCACCCACUACAACCCCUAUUACACCCUGCACUCACUACAGCCCAUAUUAACCCAUAACGGACCUUUCCCCUGCACCCACUACAGCCUCUAUUACCCCUUGCAGCCACUACAGCUUCAUACCCUCCUCUGCACCCACUGCAGCCCCUAUACAUCUGCAGCUACUAGAGCCCCCUGCACCCACUACCACCUCUAUCCCUCUGCACCUACUAUGGCCCUUUUUUCCUUCACCUACUACAGCCACUAGAACCUACUGCACUCACUACAGCUUGUCCCUAUCCCCUCUACAUCCACUAGAUCCCUUGCUACUCCCUGCACCCACUACAGCUCCUAACCCCCCUGCACCCACUGCAGCCUCUAUCCCCCACGUACCCAUUACAGCCCCUAUUACUCCCUGCACUCCCUACAGCCUUCAAACCACCUUUACCCGCUACAGCCAGACUUCCCUGCACCCACUACAGUAAUAUUAACCACUAUCCAUUCUGCACCCACUAUACCCACUAACCCCCAGCUCCGACAAAAAAUCCUAUCGCCCUUGAACCCACUAAUGACCCUGUUACCCACUGCACCUAAUACAGUCCCUAUGCCCACUGCACCCACUAUAGCCACUAUUCCUCCCCUGCCCCCACUACAGCCUCUAUUACCCCCUUCACCCACUACAAUCUCUAACUCUCCUCUGCACACACUACAGUCCCUAUCUCCUGAACACACUACAGCCUAUAUCCCCUUGCCACCACUACAGAAUCUAUUACCCCAUACACUCACUAAAACCCUUAUAACUCCCUAUAGCCUCUAUCUCUUCUGCACCCACUACAGACCAUGUCCCCCUGCACCUACUAAAGGUCCUAUUAUCCCCUGCACUCACUACAGCCCCGAUUACCAGUUGCACUAAUAACCGCCAGUUUUCUCCUUGCACCCACUACAUUCCCUAUUACCCCCUGCACCUUCUUCAUCCUCAAUGCCCCCUGACAUACUACAGCCUCUAUCUCUCCCCAUGCACCCUCUAGAGUCUCAGUUACCCCGUAUACCAAACUACAACCCCUGUUAUCCCCUUCACCCAUAAUAGCAUCUAUAACCCCCUGCACCCACUACAGCCUCUAUUAAUCCAUGCACCCACUACAUGCUCUGUGCACCCAUUAUAGUCCCUAAUAUCCCCUGAACCAAUUACAACCCUAUCCUUCCCCUAUCACCAUUGUAACCACUACUAAUAUGAUUGCUGUAUGCAGCUGUGUAAAUGCAUGCAAGGUUACAGAUAAUGUAAGAAGUGGUUAAGGUAAAGGGGGGUUUAGGGUUAGAGAGGGGUUAAUGUCAGACUUAGAUUACAUGGGGUGUUAAAAGUUAAGAUUAAAUGGUUACUCCAACCACCAUGGCCACUUCAGUGAUUUGAAGUUGUCAUGGUAAUAGAAGUAAAGUAUAUGCUUGAAACACUGCACAUACUGAGAUAUUCUUAAUUGUGUGCUGGGGGCUAGUUGAACCCCCAGCACACGAGUUAGGCAGCCCAGAACUCUGUUCCUAAUGUCAAUUCUGUGCAUAAAUGACGUCUGUUGAACAGCCGUAAAAGUCUUACCCUUGUCUUCCCCCUGCCUCUCUCCCUCCCUUUGGGAACUCUCUCCUGCUUCACUCUGUUGCUUAUUCAUUUAUUUUUUUUAAAUAAACUCUCCAUCCCACAUCCACACUCCCUCCCUCAGCCGCCCACUUUCCCCUCACAGGCCUUCUGUCUCUCUGAGACAACAAAUUAGUCCAAUCAAAGGCUUCUCUAUGAGCAAGGAGGUUCUGAAUAAAAUGUUGUUGUUUUUUAGCAUUUACAGCGCAUUGAGAGUGGGGACCUUCUCUAAAUUGCACAAUAGGACAUAUUACAUCAGAUAGGUCCCACCUCAAAAAGAUGAUAGUAACCCUUUAACAGCUUGAGAGAUGUUAAAGUUGUAGUAUAAUGAGUGUUCAGGAUUGCUGAGUUUAGGGUUAGAGUUGGAUUAUAUAUAUAGGAUAGGGGUACAUUAGCUGUUUAGUUUUUAAAGCUGUACCUUCAACGUCUGGGAAGUUUGCAGUAUUUUCAAAGAACACCGACAGUGACAUCACCGAUGGGUUUGGUAACCGGAGGGGGCUUCUACUUACCUGAAGCUGUCCCUCGCAGGCGCCUCCAUCUUCUUCCUGUGGGUCCUCUUCAGUUCCUGGUGCUUUAGUACAACAUUGAGAUCUAUAGAGGAUCCUGCAAGGUCUAUGGAGGAUCCCGUGAGAAUUCCUUGCAUCACUGGUGAUGGCUAGAAUAUUGACACCUCUAGACGGUGGUAGGUCUGCCCAGUGUCUAGAAGUGUCAGGCAUAGGAGAAAUGAUGAGACAAAGACUUUGUCUCAGUAUAUCUCCUGAUUUCAGUGACAUUAUAACACAGUCAAUAUGAGUAUUUUGUAAAUAUUCCAUCUAUAUGAAAUACUAUUUUUUCUGGGAGUGACAGUGCCGCUUUAAAAGGAGUUAAACAUUUGAUGAAGGUAAAGGGUUUAUUUUCAGGUUUAGGCUUUGAGUGCUGGAGUUUGAAGGGCUAUUUGCUUCUUCUUCUUUAUUUACUUCUGUAGACCAGUCAGACUGAUGAUAUUCAAAGCCAAACUUCCCAUUACUCAGAGUCAGUGGUGUAUCCUGGUUUUGUGCUGCCCUAGGCCCUUUUUUUGCAAGUGUUGUAAAAGGUAUGCGAUAAAGGUAGAUUACUGAAAAACAAGGGCGGUGUGGUUUUAAUACAUUAUGCGUAAACUGUGCUGUUUUUCAUCUCCAGACAAACCUUAUGAUCUCAGGACAAAAGACUCUGAGAAAACCUAUUUGAAGCAGGAAAAAAAUACACUAUUUUCAGCGGGUAAAAUUUAAAGUGGUCUAUGUGAAUUUAAAAUUAGCAUUAUUCUAUUUUCCAAGUCACAAGUGAGAAUCUGAAACACUAUAUUAAAAGUAACUUCAGACAAACGGUGAAGUUCUGUGGCAAACCAGGUCCCCAAAUAUUUGGAUGUACACAAUACUUAUAGCGUGACCUCAGAUGAGAAACGUGUUUCUGUGGAGCCCAGCCAAGACAAAUAUAUUAUAUAUAAAAGAUAAUAAACCAAAAUAUCUGGUGCCCCUCUGAAAAUACCCCAAUAUGUUAGACCAACUAAAUACUGCAUUCAUAUUUUCCCAAAUAUCAAGUACCCAAACAAUUAUCACACCUCUACUUAAUCCAUUGCCUAUGUGUUUACUGGAUCUAAUCCUAAAAUUAUAAUAGACUUUUCUAAUUAAUUUAUUCAAUCUUAUUAUUUAUACAUUUAUUUAAUAUUUUCUAUUCUUUUAAUUAUUUUCUGUUUCAGACUUUUGUAUACACACUGGACUGAAUAGCACUUCUGGCUUUUCAGAAAAAAAACAAAUUUUUAUUGCCGUUUAUCAUUCAUAUGCCAGAGGCAAUCUGAAUUGACAUGUGAACAUCCUUUCCUCAUUGUCUUAGAACAGAUAGCGGCUAACUGCUUGAAGUAAAUUAUUAUCGUCAAAUGAAGAUGAAUGAACCUGGUUAAAAUAAAUAUCUGUUUGGAAUAUUCUCAACAGUGUGCUAAAAUUGUAGUUUAUUUUAACUGCGUGCAAUACUCCAAACACACUAGCAAUUCAUGUUUGUUUGAUUUUGAUCAGUUACUCCCAACAGGUCAAUAAGGACAGAAUAAACCAUUCUCCUCCCGAAUUAUGAUGCCAGAUGAAUAGAAAGAUUGCACAGUUGUAGACACACCUUACCGAAGCCUGCUAAUUAACAUAAUAUUGAUUCAAAUACCAAAAAAUAACCACUUUUAUUGCAGAGCUGAAGACAUAUUUUAAACUUGUUUUACUGAGAUCUACGCAUUGCUAACAUGGAUAUUAAGUUCAAAGGUGUGUCUGCGUGGUAUAAAACAAUCAAACUUGUUCUUUCGGAUACGGUUUGGUUCUGCUGUUUGAUGUCAAUUUCUGGACUCAUAUUAUCCCAAACGUGUCAUGCUCAGUUAGCGGAUAACAGAUUGGCAUAGAGAAAAAAAAAAAGAAAGCUAUAAAUCUUCUUGCCAUUAACUGCUGUGCAGAGCUGUGAUGCUAAAGCAGACACACGCGAUAAUUCAGCAUGAUGAGUGGAUUCGACUACAACGUCCUAAAUUCUGGAAGGCAGCAGGGGGUUGCUGAAAGUACUGUGAUCCUGGAUCAGUGCCCGGUGUAUCAUGGCACUCUUGUCUUAUGACAUUUGGCAGCCACAUUACAUACAAAAACGCUAUUUAUUUUUCCAGAUGUGAGUGUAAGUUAUUAAAAUGUUGUUUAUUUUUUAUUACCUAAAACAUUAAAAGCUGAUUUUGGUUCUGUACACAAAUAACCAUGCAAUCUAUGUCAAAGGACAACUGUCACCUUAAUUCUAUUUUUUUAUUAUAAUAAUAUAGCUUUCAUCAAGUUUUGAAAGGAAAUAGUUUUUUUGUUAAAUGAAAUAUUUGAAAAAACCUCAUCCCUACCUUUAGUAUAUGACAGAAUCCUUCAGCCAUAUACAUACACCUCUACAUGCAGUUAGUCCCUCUAGUUUUCCCUGCUUUAUUUCCUGCCCAGUGCAGUGAUAUCGUCAGACCCACUAAAUGUCUGUUUCAAACAGUGUCUGACCCAGGUUUAUGCAUUUGGAUGAAUCAUCUGUUAAAUGUCAUACAUAGGGGUUUGUUUUUCCCUUUUUGCAUAUACUUAAUUAAAAAAAUCUCUUACCUUUCAAUACUUGAUGAAAGGAUUAUUAUAUUAAAAAAUAGUUUAUAGAACAUGCUAUUAUAUUUUUUUAUACAAGAAAAUAAAAACACAUAUUCAGUUAUUGUAAAUCAUAUUAAUGCACAAGUACAAUGUAAAGGCUUUUGUUUAUUAUUGUUAAAGAAAGGCUGCCAAUGUGCUUCGCUGUAAGGAUAUCAAUAAUUCUUGCAGAAGUAUGUUUAGAUGACCUCUUGUAAGUCCAUGCAUUUCUAAAUAUACAAACCUUGCUAGGUCUUAGAUGCAUAUUCAAUGAAAGUGUUAAUGAAAGUGCAUACCCACUGUCUUCAGAGCUGCUCCAGUGCUUACCAAACAGGUCCUUUGCAUAAUUUCCAAGGGCUAUAAAAUAAUCUUUUUGACUUGUUUUAAAUACCUUUUCCACUUAUAUAAAUGACUCAUAAUAUGCCUUAAAUUAUUUGUAAGGUACACGCAGAAGUCCCUUAAACUUUAGUUUUUGUGGCUACUUAUAAUAUUAAAAUGUAUGUAUGAACUAGGAUUAAGUCCAAAAUACAAAUUAAACAUUCACACAGAAUAAACGUAAGCAUCCAAUAUCAGACUGUUCCCACUUGAGAACAUCGCAAUUAAGGGGAGUGUAAAUCUGAAUUGGUAUUCCUGGAUUGGAAUUAACAUCAGGCCAUUCUUACGCUCCCAUCGCUCCGAAACCCAGUGUAUAAUUAUGAAUUCUAAAUGAAUGAAUCAUAAAUAUGUAAGAUCUGCAUUAUAAAACGAAAUAUAAAUGUGACACUGUUUAAGUUUCACUUAGCAGAAAUAAAAAUUAUCUUAUUUUAACAUUGGCCAAUAAAUGCAAUGGACGUGAAACUGAAUUAGAAUGUCAUUCUCUCAUUGACAGAUCAUUUAACGUCUUGGAAGGAUCUGUUUUACACUGCUCAAGACUGCGCAGGGGAAUUACAUGAAGGCUCCUUAUUGCCAGAACAAUUUUUCACCCAAUUUACUUUGAAAUGAUGGCUAACCUCUGGUCUUCCCAUUGAGAGGGACUUAAGCUAUGAUUAAUGAGAAGCAUUUUGCCAUCCCCACUAGAGAAAAGACCCAUCUGUGUCCGACACAGG
RNAcentral lists this long non-coding RNA (9127 nucleotides) under Pelobates cultripes (western spadefoot toad). The record is from RNAcentral. Lineage: Eukaryota; Metazoa; Chordata; Amphibia; Anura; Pelobatidae.